RNAcentral lists this long non-coding RNA (3473 nucleotides) under Trifolium pratense (red clover). RNAcentral's name for it is "long non-coding RNA (TPRA_LNC000904)". Lineage: Eukaryota; Viridiplantae; Streptophyta; Magnoliopsida; Fabales; Fabaceae. The record is from RNAcentral.
UUGAAAGAAAGGAUUAGGAAGUAGAAAUACAAUUUGGAACCCACUUAUGUGUUUGGAAAAAGAAUGGAUGUUGAGGUGUGCUUUAGGCCUUUGUAGUUGGCUUUAUUUGUGUUUUGUUGUCUUGGUGUUGUUAUGAGUUUUUCCUUUUUCUCUGUCAUGUGCUUUUUAAGUUUUACCAAUCCCACUUAUGUUGUUUGCCUCAAACAAUUUUUGUUUCUAGCCAAAUUUGCAACCCAUGUUUCUUCUUCCAUGAAAUUUUUAUGUUAUUUCUCAAAUAUUUAAUACAUGAAUCAAUGUUCAAUAACACAAAAGUUUGAUGAAGAUUUAUUUGAAAAAAUGAGAUUCACAUGAUCAAAAGCAAUGAUUCAAUAUAUUUGUGUUUUGUUCUUUUUGUUUUCUAUGAUUCACAUGUUUUAUAUCCUUCACUUUACUUGGAUCAAUAGCAGUCCAUAACAUCUUGAUUCCAAGAUUUUGAUAUUUGAGAAAUAUUGUAGAGUAAAUUCACGAGCAAAAAAUAAAAAAAAAUAUUAGAUUUACUGAAUUUUUAUUGUUCAAAAUGUAUCUUUUUGUUCUGUUUUUGGAUUUUGCCCCCUACCACGCUUUAUAGUAUUGAGAGAUUGCAUGACAAGGUGACAUAGUUCUUAAUCAUGGUUUUGUCAUUAUAUAUAAAUAUUAGUUGGUGGAUAAUAUGCUUUCUUAAUCUACAAGUAUUUGUUGAUUCGAUUUGUUCCCCUUCACUUAACAGAGUUAUUGCCUAGGGCAUGAAUGGGGAGAAAAGAAAGUUAAGAGUCAUGCACAUACAUAAUCCUUGCUUUGGACCUAUUGGUGUUGGUCAGGUUGAGCUUCAUUUUCUUUUUAUUCGUUGAAGGGACAUUUCAUGGUUAACAGUAGUUUAUUAAAAAAUGUUUUAGUGAAGCAUAUGUUAGAUAGACAUAGAAGUGUAAGAAAUCUGGUGAAAUUAAACAACUACUAUAGGCAUGUGCAUAACAUAUGCAUGGUUAUUAUUAUUUUUUAGCUUGGAUUGAGAAAAAAAACUCUUAAAGGCUUGAUGUAUUAUCCGGAUUGAACAACUACAAACACAAAUAAUCUUUUUUUUGGAGUCACACAAUAAAAGAUUCAGCUUGGUUUCCCAAUGCCUAUUUCAAAAAAAAGAUUAAAUUGAUAUCUUCACCACACAAACCUAUAAUUACAUGACAUUAUUAAGCCUUUUAUUUAUUUUUUAAUUGUAAUCAGGUUAAAAAAAUUCUGAUUUUAUUUUUCUUUUGCAGUCACGCAAUAAUGAAGAGGUUUGGUUUUUUUCUCUUUUUUCACAUGUGCAUAGACAUUAGCCAUUAACUAACUAGGAAUAGUGACUGUUAGUUUGAUUUAAUCUAUUAAGAUAUGUCUUAUUAGUAGGAAAUUUUAGUUAGUGCUUCAUUUGCAUGAACAAACCUUCCUAUUAUUUUUUAACCAUAAACACAUAAGUUGAUAAUUUCAAAAUUAGCCUUUGUUGAUAUAUAGCACCUUAUUGAAAAGGAACUAAUAUGCAUCAACUCUGUUUUGGAGGUUGUGGUUUAAUUUCAUGCCUUGAGUACUUUGUCCGUUAAAAUAAUUUGUAUAUAUAUGGUAUGAUUUGCACCAGUGUAUCUUAUAAUAAGAUUUGAACCAUGUCUUUCAUAAACUUGAUUACGGUUCCUUUUGCAGGUUCUACUAACCGAAAUUAAUUCAAGGUUUUUCAUUUUACUUGAUAAGAGACUUUUGGUUGUGGAAAAAGGCUUUGCUACACCGCUGCUACAAAUAUAAGCAACAACAGCAGAAGUGAGAGAUGAUGGAGUUUGAAUGGUCACAUUUAGGUAAGUUGAACUUUUUUUGGCUUUGUCCGUUUAUGUUAACCUCAAACAGUCACAAAGAUGAACAUUUGAAUUCACAUGGUUCAAGAAAACUCAUUGAUUUCUCUGUAUGACUUAUCUGUUAAUUGAAUCUUUGGAAUGGUUCUUGAAUUAAUUCGGAGGUUAAUGAGUAAUGGAAUUUACAGGCGGGGUAGAAUCUUUUACCUAAAUAAAGGAAUAUAUUUAUCACACUAUAAGUCACACUAACUAAAUGAAUAUAUUUAAUCGAUGUUGGUGCCUUUAUCACAUAAAUCAUUCUCCUCCAUUUGCUACAUUUCAUUUUUCUCUUCAAUUUUUUGUUUGUGGUCCUUUUGUCACACUAUAAGUGGAUCGCUUUUAGUUUGGUAUUUUUAUUUUUAUUUACAUAGAAGGAAUUAUUGUAAUUCUUUGAAUUUCUUACUAUAGCGAGUUAGUGAGGUGCAUAGCUUGAUUGUAUUUGAAAACUCCUCAUUAGACGUUGAAGUUAAUAUCACUUUAAGUCAUUUACAGCCACUUCAAAUCUGGUUUUGUGCACACAUAACUGAUUUUGUUUUAUACCUGGCAGAGAAUUCUAUGGAGAUCGAAACUUAAAUGAGAAACAAGUUGAGAUUCUUAGAAUUACAUCAUUAUCAUUUUCAGAGGUAACCCUUAUUUCUUUCUAUUUUCUUUCACUUCAUUAUUUAUAAAAAUAAAGUAACUACUGUGUUGUCAAGGAUUUGCAUUCUCCAAACUUCAUGUACAGUAUUAUAAAAGAAUAACACAUUAGACUCUCAAUGCAUUUCUACUCAUACUGUACUCAUUUAUAUUGUAUCAGAUUAGAUAAUGCAAUGAUAUAUUUCUAUUUUGCUACAUUAGGCUUUCAUGAGUCUUUUGUAACUUAAAAUUGCAGCCUUUAUUUUUGUUUUAAAUAUGACUAGCCAUUUGUUGUUGAGAAAUUUUCAUAAAGAAAUAAGUUAAGAAUGCAAAUUGAUUUUAAGGUAUACUUUGGUCCAGUUCUAUGUAGCAUGUUUUGAAUAAGAAUUUAUGCUUAGGAAUUUAUACUAAUCUUUUUCCACUAUGUUCAUUCUCUAAAGUUUGUAGACAAUGUUUUGUUCCUUUACUUUCGCAACUUUCAUUUGUUAAUUGACUAUUUGAUCUGCAUAUAUUUUGAUGAUAACAUAUGAUUUCAAAUCCUAUAUGCUCUAAGUAAAAAAGGCUUAAAUCUGCUCAUUUCCAGUUUGCAAUAUCAUUUUGUUUUGGUUGUUUAACCAUGUUUUAAUUUCGAGUUUGUGUCUGAACUAACAUAAGUAGUACGAUGUUUUGGGAGUUAUUUUGAUGAUUGCCUUUUUCUGCUGUUUUUGACCAAAUUUUACAGAGCAUAUCAUACAGAAAAGAUUAGAAAGGAAAGAGCAAGAAGAUUAGCUAAAGUCUGAGUGCAACUAGGAUAGAUACAAUUUGUAAUAAAUAUAAAACCCUUAAAUAUUGAAUAGAAUCACUUCAUUCCUACAUGUACGUAUGUUAGUUGUAGUAAUACCCUUAAAUUUGUAAUAAAUAUAAUACCCUUAAAUAUUGUUCAUUAAUAGUAUGUAACCUUAGUUGUAGUAAUAAUUUCAUUCUAUUUCUUAACAAGUAUAUUGAAGAAUAUUU